RNAcentral lists this ribosomal RNA (96 nucleotides) under Vibrio parahaemolyticus. Lineage: Bacteria; Pseudomonadati; Pseudomonadota; Gammaproteobacteria; Vibrionales; Vibrionaceae. The record is from RNAcentral.
CUUGGCGACCAUAGCGUUUUGGACCCACCUGACUCAAUCCGAACUCAGAAGUGAAACAAAAAAGCGCCGAUGGUAGUGUGGGGUUCCCCCAUGGGA